RNAcentral lists this non-coding RNA (23 nucleotides) under Rattus norvegicus (Norway rat). The record is from RNAcentral. Lineage: Eukaryota; Metazoa; Chordata; Mammalia; Rodentia; Muridae.
UCCUGCAUGGGGCUAAACUUUGA